Long non-coding RNA from Salvelinus namaycush (lake trout), 615 nucleotides. RefSeq lists it as uncharacterized. The record is from RefSeq and is a predicted model, not a curated record. The transcript has 4 exons. Lineage: Eukaryota; Metazoa; Chordata; Actinopteri; Salmoniformes; Salmonidae.
GGGAUGUAUCGCUUCCUCUUACGCCUCUGGCUACAGUGGUGCAGUCAAUGCUGGAAGUUCAACGUUUUCGAACCAGACACAAUGUCAAUCGCGUAACUUUAUUCAAUAUUGAUAAUGUAAUGUUUGGAAGUAACAAAAGACGAGUGUUACGUUGUAGUUAAAUCGCCUCGAUAUUUAGAGAGGGGUGCGUGCGCGAGACAUGAGUGCCCAUGUAGCGCAGCUAGGAUGAGUUGUCAUCAGACUUCUACAUGGGCGGACGACUAUUCUGUACAACAGGAAAACGAACUAGAAGCGCUUGCAUCAAUUUUUGGAGAAGAUUUUAAUGAUCUGAGUAAUAACCAUCCAUGGAAGAUCAAAAGACCACUAGAGGUAUACCUGUGCCUGCGACCUAAUGGACUAAGCAAUGGGAAGGAAAGUUAUGUGACAGUGGACCUGCAGGUCCAAUGCCCACCUACGUACCCUGAUGUGCCGCAGCAAGUAUACUGGAUAUUGAGGAGAGUGGCUCUGUUCUGAUUCUCAAACCGGACCCAACAGGGAAUAUAACUGGUAUGGUUGGUACUGCCCUAUAUGUCAGUCCAGAGGUGCAAGGAAAUACCAAAGCCACUUACAACCAGG